This 75-nucleotide transfer RNA is filed under the name Corynebacterium sp. RNAcentral describes it as "tRNA-Asn". It matches the Rfam family "tRNA". Rfam says of the family: Transfer RNA (tRNA) molecules are approximately 80 nucleotides in length. Their secondary structure includes four short double-helical elements and three loops (D, anti-codon, and T loops). Lineage: Bacteria; Bacillati; Actinomycetota; Actinomycetes; Mycobacteriales; Corynebacteriaceae. The record is from RNAcentral.
UCCCUCAUAGCUCAACGGCAGAGCAUCCGACUGUUAAUCGGAAGGUUACUGGUUCGAAUCCAGUUGGGGGAGCCA